RNAcentral lists this ribosomal RNA (397 nucleotides) under uncultured bacterium. RNAcentral's name for it is "partial 16S ribosomal RNA". It matches the Rfam family "Bacterial small subunit ribosomal RNA", at positions 523 to 918 of the family's 1533-position model. The record is from RNAcentral.
AUACGUAGGGGGCGAGCGUUGUCCGGAAUGACUGGGCGUAAAGGGCGUGUAGGCGGCGGUGUAAGUCUGGAGUGAAAGUCCCGCAUUCAAUGUGGGAAUUGCUUUGGAUACUGCAGUGCUAGAGUGCGGAAGAGGUAAGUGGAAUUCCCAGUGUAGCGGUGAAAUGCGUAGAGAUUGGGAGGAACACCAGUGGCGAAGGCGACUUACUGGGCCGUAACUGACGCUGAGGCGCGAAAGCGUGGGGAGCGAACAGGAUUAGAUACCCUGGUAGUCCACGCUGUAAACGAUGAAUGCUAGGUGUAGGGGGUAUCGACCCCUUCUGUGCCGCAGUCAACACAAUAAGCAUUCCGCCUGGGGAGUACGGCCGCAAGGUUGUAACUCAAAUGAAUUGGCGGGG